RNAcentral lists this ribosomal RNA (576 nucleotides) under uncultured bacterium. RNAcentral's name for it is "bacterial SSU rRNA". It matches the Rfam family "Bacterial small subunit ribosomal RNA", at positions 102 to 674 of the family's 1533-position model. The record is from RNAcentral.
ACGGGUGAGUAAUACAUCGGAACGUAUCCUGGAGUGGGGGAUAGCCCGGCGAAAGCCGGAUUAAUACCGCAUACGCUCUGAGGAGGAAAGCGGGGGACCUUCGGGCCUCGCGCUCAAGGGGCGGCCGAUGGCGGAUUAGGUAGUUGGUGGGGUAAAGGCCUACCAAGCCGACGAUCCGUAGCUGGUCUGAGAGGACGACCAGCCACACUGGGACUGAGACACGGCCCAGACUCCUACGGGAGGCAGCAGUGGGGAAUUUUGGACAAUGGGGGCAACCCUGAUCCAGCAAUGCCGCGUGUGUGAAGAAGGCCUUCGGGUUGUAAAGCACUUUUGUCCGGAAAGAAAUCAUCGGGGCCAAUGCCCCUGGUGGAUGACGGUACCGGAAGAAUAAGCACCGGCUAACUACGUGCCAGCAGCCGCGGUAAUACGUAGGGUGCGAGCGUUAAUCGGAAUUACUGGGCGUAAAGCGUGCGCAGGCGGUGCUGUAAGACCGAUGUGAAAUCCCCGGGCUUAACCUGGGAACUGCAUUGGUGACUGCAGCGCUGGAGUAUGGCAGAGGGGGGUGGAAUUCCACGU